CUUCUGAUUGACAUGACGCUGCCUUGCGGAGAUAAAUUACGGGGAAUUCCCAGCAAACCACAAUAAGGGAAUUAGUUUUGGAGGUAUAAAUACAUAAUGAAGUUUGGGCAACAGAAUCACAAUACGAGAGGUUAAGUACACGGCGAAGAGAUUUGGGGUAACGUAGCUUGUGGAAGAAUAGUGAAAAUAUUCAAUAACACUGGAAAUGAAUGAUAUGAACAAAUAAGAAAAACAUCACAUUCAGCAAAAUUGUCAUCAAAUACAGGAUUGAUGACCAGUGAAUUAGACUACUGGAUGUUAUAAGCAUUGAGUAUUCACUCUGGAUUGAAGCACAACAUGAGACUUAUCACUAUCGAGAAGGUUCGUAUCGUCAGCGAAUAAUUUGGAAAAUAGAGUGGAGCUAUGUGCAAGAUCAUUAAUAUAAAUUAAGAACAGAGCCGGACCCAAGGACGAACCCUGGGGAACCCCAUGGGUCACAGAUUUGAAGAUUGGAAUUACUCUGGCAAUUUUCAGUGAAGAUGGAAAUAUCCCCAA
Styela clava is the source of this 534-nucleotide non-coding RNA. The record is from RefSeq and is a predicted model, not a curated record. NCBI's taxonomy places the organism in Eukaryota, Metazoa, Chordata, Ascidiacea, Stolidobranchia, Styelidae.